RNAcentral lists this transfer RNA (70 nucleotides) under Camelus bactrianus (Bactrian camel). It matches the Rfam family "tRNA". Rfam says of the family: Transfer RNA (tRNA) molecules are approximately 80 nucleotides in length. Their secondary structure includes four short double-helical elements and three loops (D, anti-codon, and T loops). RNAcentral also lists the same sequence under 2 other names. The record is from Rfam by way of RNAcentral. Lineage: Eukaryota; Metazoa; Chordata; Mammalia; Artiodactyla; Camelidae.
GGGGAUAGCUCAUCUGUAGAGUGUGUGCCUGGCAUGCACGAGGUCCUGGGUUCAAUCCCCAGUGUCCCUG